RNAcentral lists this ribosomal RNA (959 nucleotides) under Microbacterium hydrocarbonoxydans. RNAcentral's name for it is "bacterial SSU rRNA". It matches the Rfam family "Bacterial small subunit ribosomal RNA", at positions 36 to 1002 of the family's 1533-position model. Lineage: Bacteria; Bacillati; Actinomycetota; Actinomycetes; Micrococcales; Microbacteriaceae. The record is from RNAcentral.
CUGGCGGCGUGCUUAACACAUGCAAGUCGAACGGUGAACACGGAGCUUGCUCUGUGGGAUCAGUGGCGAACGGGUGAGUAACACGUGAGCAACCUGCCCCUGACUCUGGGAUAAGCGCUGGAAACGGCGUCUAAUACUGGAUACGAACCACGAAGGCAUCUUCAGUGGUUGGAAAGAUUUAUUGGUUGGGGAUGGGCUCGCGGCCUAUCAGCUUGUUGGUGAGGUAAUGGCUCACCAAGGCGUCGACGGGUAGCCGGCCUGAGAGGGUGACCGGCCACACUGGGACUGAGACACGGCCCAGACUCCUACGGGAGGCAGCAGUGGGGAAUAUUGCACAAUGGGCGCAAGCCUGAUGCAGCAACGCCGCGUGAGGGAUGACGGCCUUCGGGUUGUAAACCUCUUUUAGCAGGGAAGAAGCGAAAGUGACGGUACCUGCAGAAAAAGCGCCGGCUAACUACGUGCCAGCAGCCGCGGUAAUACGUAGGGCGCAAGCGUUAUCCGGAAUUAUUGGGCGUAAAGAGCUCGUAGGCGGUUUGUCGCGUCUGCUGUGAAAUCCGGAGGCUCAACCUCCGGCCUGCAGUGGGUACGGGCAGACUAGAGUGCGGUAGGGGAGAUUGGAAUUCCUGGUGUAGCGGUGGAAUGCGCAGAUAUCAGGAGGAACACCGAUGGCGAAGGCAGAUCUCUGGGCCGUAACUGACGCUGAGGAGCGAAAGGGUGGGGAGCAAACAGGCUUAGAUACCCUGGUAGUCCACCCCGUAAACGUUGGGAACUAGUUGUGGGGUCCAUUCCACGGAUUCCGUGACGCAGCUAACGCAUUAAGUUCCCCGCCUGGGGAGUACGGCCGCAAGGCUAAAACUCAAAGGAAUUGACGGGGACCCGCACAAGCGGCGGAGCAUGCGGAUUAAUUCGAUGCAACGCGAAGAACCUUACCAAGGCUUGACAUAUACGAGAACGGGCCA